UACGUAGGGUGCAAGCGUUAAUCGGAAUUACUGGGCGUAAAGCGUGCGCAGGCGGUUCGCUAAGACAGAUGUGAAAUCCCCGGGCUUAACCUGGGAACUGCAUUUGUGACUGGCGGCUAGAGUAUGGCAGAGGGGGGUAGAAGUUCCACGUGUAGCAGUGAAAUGCGUAGAGAUGUGGAGGAAUACCGAUGGCGAAGGCAGCCCCCUGGGCCAAUACUGACGCUCAUGCACGAAAGCGUUGGGGGAGCAAAACAGG
This 256-nucleotide ribosomal RNA is filed under the name uncultured bacterium. Its description in RNAcentral is "partial 16S ribosomal RNA". It matches the Rfam family "Bacterial small subunit ribosomal RNA", at positions 524 to 776 of the family's 1533-position model. The record is from RNAcentral.